CGUUUCUCUCAUCCGGAUGCCCGCGUGAAGCUAUCUUUCCUUGCUAGCUAUACCAUGCACCCCCGCCUUAAAAAGGGCAGCUCCAGCUCGCACACCUUCUUCACGCACGCACGCACAACCUAGAUUAGAAGGCUAGAACUCCAGUUCGCCAUGCAGCUGCACCCGCGCGGCGGCUGCUGGGCCGCUCGACGCCUCCUGGCCGCGCCGGC
Molecule: long non-coding RNA, 209 nt
Filed under: Hordeum vulgare
Lineage: Eukaryota; Viridiplantae; Streptophyta; Magnoliopsida; Poales; Poaceae
Description: long non-coding RNA (HVUL_LNC013624)
Source: RNAcentral